UUUUUUUUUGUCAAAACGCUAAGGAAGACCGGGGAAAAACCAAAACGUCGGAAAAAACCGGGAAUAAAACCGUUUAGAAAGCCGAAAAUGCGUGCGGAAAAAUAAAAUAAAAUAAAAUCUGAAGGGAGCGUCCAGAGCGCGACACGUGGCGAAUGGCUGAGAGCGCGCCAAGUGGCGCUGAUCGUUGCGAGGCUCCCGAAGGAGCGCUCGUUAACUAGUUGCUCCCCACAUCAUCGAGGCGGUCGCACAUGGGUUGCUCACCUUCUAGGCCGAAGUCCGGUUGAUGGAGAAGCGACUGGGCUUGGAGGUUAGGGCGCUGGGCUCGGACCACGGGGGACGGACAUGCUGGACAAAAAUAUGAGCAUUAUUUGUCAUAUGCAAAUUUUAUCAUGUUGUGAAUUGAAUAGGUGCAACAACUUGUGUGACUUCUGUAAUGGAAAUAUGAGCUUCCUACUAAAGAAAUGCAAAUAUGAGUGAUACGUAAAGAAGAGUAGAACAAUAAAUCAUUGCCUAAUAUAUAGAAAGAGUUUCCAGUUUGAAGUCAAUCUGGUUCCUUUUAUCCAAUUUAGCAAUACUAUGUUUGUAAAGUGGUCAAUAUUCCCAACUUUUCCUAAAGUAGAAUUAUGUCGUGCUCAGCAAAAUCAAUAUUCAGUCAAAUGCAUUGCAUCAAGAUUAGUACAGAAUAGGAAAAAACAGUCCAUGGCUUGUUAAAGAACCCAAACCAGGUCAGAGGGGUGCAUACCGUGAGUGACUAUGUCCUCUGGUAGGGUGAUAUUGAACUAACACCGGCGUUUGGCCGAGGCCACAUAGACUUGGUGUUUCCUUGCAUCGUGGGUUCCUCGAAUCAGUGCUGAUGCAAAAUGACACGGCGACGACAGAUGGAGUUACUGCAAACUAAGACACAUAUGGAUGAAAAUUAAUUAGUAUCGUUUACCUCGUUCUCCAUAUGAGAAAACAGGCUUGGUCAACAGCGAGCGAGCAAAGGUUAGCGUCGUGCGGCCGGCGACGAAGGAGGCGAAGGAGGUCGGCGGCGAUGCAGCGUGUUUCCCGAGCCUACAUGCUGCGGGGAUAGCCGGCGUGGCGAGAGUCAUCAAGCUCAUGGAUUUUGGCAAAAUAGCGAAUGAGGCUAGGUGCAAUCCGAAUGAGGAAGAAUGGGGGUUCUAUACGAGUGAGGAAGAAGGGGAGUGGUGUUGCCACAAGUGUCGACCCUCUAUUCCUAAUCACACACAUGUCCCCGUAAGUUGUGCGUGGAAUGAUUAAUCAUCAUAGACAAUUGUCUUUAGUGAAACUGUUGGUCCUAUCUUGUACACAGUUCAUUUCACGAAACCGUGGAUGAUAACUAAUCAAUUCACAAACGAUUCUUCCUUUCGACCCAUCUGUACUGUAUCGCAUAAGGUUUCUUCUUCUCGGUCGUGCGCGAUGCCUUCUAAUCACACACGUUUAUUAUCUAGACAAACAGUUUUAUAUUUGUACCGUCUACAAUGUGAACAUCGCAAACGGUCCUUCCUCAUGAUAACCCCCUUGUGUCUAGUGAACCAUGUGCUGCACCCGCACCAAUAUUGCACCAUGUUUCUCCUGCCAAAUGUGACACAGUAGUUGCCACGCUAGAAACUAGGGUGACAUCCCACGUCACCAUGGGCCUGAUUAGACGGACAUCUCUGUCGUUGUCGACCAGCCACCAUAGCACGCGGCUGGGAACACACUGCCACCCACCUCGAAGGGCAUCGAUAACACCCUUUCAUCCAAGGGGAGAUGUCCGCGAGCCAUCGGAUCUGUGAGAGACGAGCUGCAGAGGGCCUGAGUUGAACUGACUGGCGCGUGCACCACGGCCAUCCAUCGACAUGGAGCACCAAUCGCCUGCAGAAGAAGGAAGGGGAAGCCGAGGAGCCCCGCCGCCGCACGUGUUUUGCCCCACGACGGCGGGCGAGGGGGGAGGGGCUGUCGCAGAGGAUGAUUUGGUCGCUGCUCAAGUCGCCAUGCUGGAGAGCACGUGGGGGCGACCAAAAAAGAAAAGAGAUAGCUGCGGACGAAAUUAAUCUGUUUUCACAGGGGAUAUUGAUGAAAAUGGUUAUUCAUUUCCUUUUCUUCUAGUAACCACGUUCACGGAUCUGCAGUUGAUGUAUCUUCCCCCACCACCGAAAAUGCACGUUGACGAGUGGCGCAAGUAAGAGCGCACGUGAAGUUGCCCCAUUUUUCUUCGGCGAUGCGUGGGUGCAUUUUCCUUGAUCAUUGUCUUCCUACUACUCGAGUCUAGAACUUGGUUGUUCACACAUUCCAUCCACCGGCUAAAGCAAGACACCUGCAUAAAAAGAACUGUCCAGAAACUGGCCGCAGUUUUGCGUCGCGGCAGAACGAAUCACCGAAAGCACACGGAAUUUGACCGACGACAGUAACUAUAACUAAUUAACGGCAUCCGGAAGGAAUUCCGCCCGCACGCAGGACCGGCAUGCUCACGCGCGCGCCGUAGCUUGCCGCGGCGAGCGGCCCGUUCCCCGGCCGCACGGCUUCGCGUAGCACAUUAGCACCUGUGCACCCGUCGCGGCACACGAUCGGGACCGAGAUCGAGUACGUGGUGGGAGAUGGAUCGCUCGCCGGGUCGCCGAAAGCUCAGUCUGAGACGGAGCCGGCAAGGCGGCAACGGUGGGUGCGCGCCGGCGGGCCCCGGAAAUCUGGUGCAAGAGCUGGGCUAGUGACUUCCGGCCUGCGUGCCGCGAGCGACUCGAUCGUACGUGGUCGCUCCUUCCACCGGCAGUUGCCUUCGGCGGGCGGCCGUGGCCCGCACCUCACAUGCAGAGGCGGGUAGGCGACGCAGCCGUCGACAUCCCACUCCGCGCCCCGCACAUGCGCCUGAGCAGUCCGUUACUUUGUCCCUUUCCGCUGUUAACUGUUCGGAGAAACGACCGGUGCGGGUCAGGUGGAAGGUCUCGUCCUCCUUUUCCAUGUUCUUCAGUUUGUCUGGAGAAAGAGAAAGGGCAUCGACGAUAAAGUUUUUCAGUUUUUACCUGGCUAUCUUGUGCACCAUUCAGUACAUUAUUCAUGACAUUCAUAGUAGUACAACUUACUUAGAAGUUCUUUUAUUUUAUCACAACAAGCCUUCUAGUGGAUUUCCAUUAAAGAAACCGUAUAAAUAACAUACUUGGGAGUAGUUUUUUUUAACAGUACAGGCGCAGACGCUCACACAUACAUUCAUCCUAUGUGCACCUUCAAGAGAAUGGGUUAGCACAUCAUCUUGAGAUUGACGAAUUCGCCGCAGACGUCUACAUCCUACUGAACGCAUGUCGCCAAAAGACCUGAAAUAAAUCUAAAAAAAUGCGUGCAUCAGUGUCUAGUCUAGGACUUGAACCCUGCUGGUUAGAGAUAACACUGUCCUCUUAGCCAUCCAACUGUAGGUUGGUUCACAUUUAGGAGUAGUUUAAUUUGAGAACAUUGACCAAAGACUAAACGGAGCAGAGUCCUGUUAUUUCACUAAAAGAACAUGACCAAAGACUAGCUCGGCGAUUGGGAGAGUUUAGCGCCAGUAUUUACGGCGACGAUCCAGCGGUCUCUACUAGCAUGCAUGCUAGUCGUUAAACAACUUUCUUAGCUAGAGUGAACUUUUAGGCGGCGAUGUUGCCGGCAGUCGCUCGUGUAAAAGUUAAUCCGAAUCAUUCACUAUCAUUAGGUAGCUAAGACUGACGGUUAUAGAACGAACGAAUUGGUUAGUGGUUACCAUACGGAAAGAAAAGGAGCUUUUGAAAGUGAAAGACAUGUGCCGGGAGAUUGGCACCCUUUGCGUUGGAUAGACGCACUAGCUAGUCGGUGGUAACUGAUAUGACGCAGACAUACUCGACUGCGUGCUUUGCUUGGUCGUUGCAAAAAUUAUGACGUACCGACCUUUCCAGGAUCGUCGAAUCUACCGGAACGGAGUAGAAUUUCCACUUGCCGUGGCCGUACGUUCGUUAGAAAGUCAGGAUCGAAUUCCUGGCGUGCAAUUAAUCCUUGGCGCGCACAAUCAAGUUUGACAAGUACUAGGGCAAUACGAACUGUUGAGUACUGGCAGUACUGAUGAGAGACUGAAGGAGGGACAAGAGUUAAGCAGGAGUACACACAAACAGUAAUAACUUAUGGUCUGCUUACACACUGGUACAGUGACAGUGGGCGCGGGAGUGCACAUGCAAAAGUGCCCCUCCUCCAUAUCCCACCGACGUAUUCAAGACACACAUGCACGACGACGCCUACAUGACACCCGACGACCCAACCUUAAUUAAUCAAAAACCUCCUCGGUAGUACCCAUGCAAAACGAUCCAUGAUAGUACAGAUACCAAAUCAAGCCAAUGCAUGCAUGAUUCCAAAUGAUGAGUUCGGUUCAGUUCAGCAGCUUCAGCUGUACUGGACGAUGGAGCGGUAGAAGGUGCUGGGCGCCCAGUUGGCCGGGAUGACCUUGUCGGCCACCAGCGUCUUGCCGGACUCGUUGGUGAUGCGCAUGGAGAAGGGCGCCUGGAGGCGGUGGCCGGAGUCGAGCCGCCAGAUGGAGCCCCAUGACUCGCGCAUCGGCGUCCACGUCCCGGAGUUGGCCUCCAUGAGGUCCACCUGCACCACGUCGCCGUCGCCGUCCUCGUACUCCACCAGCACCGCGAAGUACACCGGGUUCGACCCCUGCUCCACGUGGAAGGUCACCUUGAGACCGGGGAACUCGCACGGCACCCUGCACCAAUCAUCAGCAGCAGCAAUCAGCAACCCAUGUGCCAUUGUAACUUGGUCUGUGACCGAGCCGGGACGACGGCAAAUAAGUGUGAAGCGACGGUGCUCAAAAUAGAGUAUUAUUCGCAGCGAAUCUAUUUGGGUCCCAGUUAAACCGGUCGCGGUCGUGAAAGUUUUGUUGGGCAAAAGCAC
This 4872-nucleotide long non-coding RNA is filed under the name Triticum aestivum (bread wheat). Its description in RNAcentral is "long non-coding RNA (TAES_LNC019389)". The record is from RNAcentral. Lineage: Eukaryota; Viridiplantae; Streptophyta; Magnoliopsida; Poales; Poaceae.